AGGUCUAUAGUUGAGAACAAUAUAAAAUUGCAAGUUUUAAGGUCAAGAUCUU
RNAcentral lists this transfer RNA (52 nucleotides) under Plagiorhynchus transversus. RNAcentral's name for it is "tRNA-Cys". The record is from RNAcentral. Lineage: Eukaryota; Metazoa; Acanthocephala; Palaeacanthocephala; Polymorphida; Plagiorhynchidae.